AUACUAUCAUUGUAUGUGUUCCAUACAGUUAUUUGGUGGUGUUUUACUAACACUGGAUACUAUACCAGUCUGGAUAAGAUGGUUGCAAUACGUCUCAUUAUUCCGAUACUCAAUUGAAGCUAUUGUAGUCAAUGAAAUUGAUGGACUGUAUUUUAAUCAAACAAUUAAUGGUAGUAGUGUGUUAGUUCCUGGUAGUGAGUUAUUGUCAUUUCAAGGAUACAAGACCAGUUGGUUGUGGUAUGACAUGAUUGGACUAGGAGGACUGGCUCUUCUAUUCCUAACACUAACAUACAUUACACUGAGACUAAUUAAGAAAGAAAAAUAAAUAAAUAAUAAUAACAACAAUAAUAAUGAUGACAAUAAUGAUAAUGAUAGUUGUUGCCUGUCUUGUUGUCUUGGUUUAAUAAUGAUGACUUUUAUUUUUAGCUCAAGGUAUGCACAUUAAGGAAAAA
This is a long non-coding RNA of Amphimedon queenslandica, 452 nucleotides long. RefSeq lists it as uncharacterized. The record is from RefSeq and is a predicted model, not a curated record. The transcript is spliced from 2 exons. Lineage: Eukaryota; Metazoa; Porifera; Demospongiae; Haplosclerida; Niphatidae.